GGUUAAGCGACUAAGCGUACACGGUGGAUGCCCUGGCAGUCAGAGGCGAUGAAGGGCGUGCUAAUCUGCGAUAAGCGCCGGUAAGGUGAUAUGAACCGUUAUAACCGGCGAUACCCGAAUGGGGAAACCCAGUGUGAUUCGUCACACUAUCAUUACGUGAAUACAUAGCGUAAUGAAGCGAACCGGGGGAACUGAAACAUCUAAGUACCCCGAGGAAAAGAAAUCAACCGAGAUUCCCCCAGUAGCGGCGAGCGAACGGGGAGGAGCCCAGAGCCUGAAUCAGCAUGUGUGUUAGUGGAAGCGUCUGGAAAGGCGCGCGAUACAGGGUGACAGCCCCGUACACAAAAGCGCAUGUGCUGUGAGCUCGAUGAGUAGGGCGGGACACGUGGUAUCCUGUCUGAAUAUGGGGGGACCAUCCUCCAAGGCUAAAUACUCCUGACUGACCGAUAGUGAACCAGUACCGUGAGGGAAAGGCGAAAAGAACCCCGGCGAGGGGAGUGAAAAAGAACCUGAAACCGUGUACGUACAAGCAGUGGGAGCACAGGUUUACCUGUGUGACUGCGUACCUUUUGUAUAAUGGGUCAGCGACUUAUAUUCUGUAGCAAGGUUAACCGUAUAGGGGAGCCGGAGGGAAACCGAGUCUUAACCGGGCGUUAAGUUGCAGGGUAUAGACCCGAAACCCGGUGAUCUAGCCAUGGGCAGGUUGAAGGUUGGGUAACACUAACUGGAGGACCGAACCGACUAAUGUUGAAAAAUUAGCGGAUGACCUGUGGCUGGGGGUGAAAGGCCAAUCAAACCGGGAGAUAGCUGGUUCUCCCCGAAAGCUAUUUAGGUAGCGCCUCGUGAAUUCAUCUCCGGGGGUAGAGCACUGUUUCGGCUAGGGGGCCAUCCCGGCUUACCAACCCGAUGCAAACUGCGAAUACCGGAGAAUGUUAUCACGGGAGACACACGGCGGGUGCUAACGUCCGUCGUGAAGAGGGAAACAACCCAGACCGCCAGCUAAGGUCCCAAAGUCAUGGUUAAGUGGGAAACGAUGUGGGAAGGCCCAGACAGCCAGGAUGUUGGCUUAGAAGCAGCCAUCAUUUAAAGAAAGCGUAAUAGCUCACUGGUCGAGUCGGCCUGCGCGGAAGAUGUAACGGGGCUAAACCAUGCAC
RNAcentral lists this ribosomal RNA (1154 nucleotides) under Salmonella enterica. Its description in RNAcentral is "partial 23S ribosomal RNA". It matches the Rfam family "Bacterial large subunit ribosomal RNA", at positions 1 to 1194 of the family's 2925-position model. The record is from RNAcentral. Lineage: Bacteria; Pseudomonadati; Pseudomonadota; Gammaproteobacteria; Enterobacterales; Enterobacteriaceae.